Molecule: ribosomal RNA, 1372 nt
Filed under: uncultured bacterium
Lineage: Bacteria
Description: bacterial SSU rRNA
Rfam family: Bacterial small subunit ribosomal RNA
Source: RNAcentral
GAUGAACGCUGGCGGCGUGCCUAAUACAUGCAAGUCGAGCGAACGGACGAGAAGCUUGCUUCUCUGAUGUUAGCGGCGGACGGGUGAGUAACACGUGGAUAACCUACCUAUAAGACUGGGAUAACUUCGGGAAACCGGAGCUAAUACCGGAUAAUAUUUUGAACCGCAUGGUUCAAAAGUGAAAGACGGUCUUGCUGUCACUUAUAGAUGGAUCCGCGCUGCAUUAGCUAGUUGGUAAGGUAACGGCUUACCAAGGCAACGAUGCAUAGCCGACCUGAGAGGGUGAUCGGCCACACUGGAACUGAGACACGGUCCAGACUCCUACGGGAGGUAGCAGUAGGGAAUCUUCCGCAAUGGGCGAAAGCCUGACGGAGCAACGCCGCGUGAGUGAUGAAGGUCUUCGGAUCGUAAAACUCUGUUAUUAGGGAAGAACAUAUGUGUAAGUAACUGUGCACAUCUUGACGGUACCUAAUCAGAAAGCCACGGCUAACUACGUGCCAGCAGCCGCGGUAAUACGUAGGUGGCAAGCGUUAUCCGGAAUUAUUGGGCGUAAAGCGCGCGUAGGCGGUUUUUUAAGUCUGAUGUGAAAGCCCGCGGCUCAACCGUGGAGGGUCAUUGGAAACUGGAAAACUUGAGUGCAAAAGAGGAAAGUGGAAUUCCAUGUGUAGCGGUGAAAUGCGCAGAGAUAUGGAGGAACACCAGUGGCGAAGGCGACUUUCUGGUCUGUAACUGACGCUGAUGUGCGAAAGCGUGGGGAUCAAACAGGAUUAGAUACCCUGGUAGUCCACGCCGUAAACGAUGAGUGCUAAGUGUUAGGGGGUUUCCGCCCCUUAGUGCUGCAGCUAACGCAUUAAGCACUCCGCCUGGGGAGUACGACCGCAAGGUUGAAACUCAAAGGAAUUGACGGGGACCCGCACAAGCGGUGGAGCAUGUGGUUUAAUUCGAAGCAACGCGAAGAACCUUACCAAAUCUUGACAUCCUUUGACAACUCUAGAGAUAGAGCUUUCCCCUUCGGGGGACAAAGUGACAGGUGGUGCAUGGUUGUCGUCAGCUCGUGUCGUGAGAUGUUGGGUUAAGUCCCGCAACGAGCGCAACCCUUAAGCUUAGUUGCCAUCAUUAAGUUGGGCACUCUAAGUUGACUGCCGGUGACAAACCGGAGGAAGGUGGGGAUGACGUCAAAUCAUCAUGCCCCUUAUGAUUUGGGCUACACACGUGCUACAAUGGACAAUACAAAGGGCAGCGAAACCGUGAGGUCAAGCAAAUCCCAUAAAGUUGUUCUCAGUUCGGAUUGUAGUCUGCAACUCGACUACAUGAAGCUGGAAUCGCUAGUAAUCGUAGAUCAGCAUGCUACGGUGAAUACGUUCCCGGGUCU